Molecule: non-coding RNA, 135 nt
Filed under: Marininema halotolerans
Lineage: Bacteria; Bacillati; Bacillota; Bacilli; Caryophanales; Thermoactinomycetaceae
Description: FMN sequence
Rfam family: FMN riboswitch aptamer (RFN element)
About the family: The RFN element is a highly conserved domain that is found frequently in the 5'-untranslated regions of prokaryotic mRNAs that encode for flavin mononucleotide (FMN) biosynthesis and transport proteins.
Source: RNAcentral
UUAAUCCUUCGGGGCAGGGUGAAAUUCCCUACCGGCGGUGAUGGUCGCAAGACCUCAGUCCGUGACCCGCGUAAAGCGGUGGACCUGGUGCAAAUCCGGGACCGACAGUAACAGUCUGGAUGGGAGAAGGAUGAG